AAGGAUCAUUCACAAUGAGUGUUUAAUGGCACUUUUAAUCCAUUACCCACCUUGUGUGCAAUGUCGAGGAAAGAUUCGUGUGUCUUCUCAUACGGGUUUUUCUUUUCAUUCAUACCAUGUUUUUCACUAUCAGUCUACAUCAAUCGAGUAAUUAAAAAACUCUAAUACAACUUUCAACAACGGAUCUCUUGGCUCUC
RNAcentral lists this unclassified non-coding RNA (197 nucleotides) under uncultured fungus. Its description in RNAcentral is "partial contains 18S rRNA, ITS1, 5.8S rRNA, ITS2 and 28S rRNA". Lineage: Eukaryota; Fungi. The record is from RNAcentral.